GGCAGCGGCGUAUCGGGAUUUUUGCUGUUGUAGUCGGCAAUCAACCGCAGCACCCGAUUGUUCCAGUUGAUCAGCUGCUCC
This 81-nucleotide transfer RNA is filed under the name Paenibacillus faecis. RNAcentral's name for it is "tRNA-Tyr". The record is from RNAcentral. Lineage: Bacteria; Bacillati; Bacillota; Bacilli; Caryophanales; Paenibacillaceae.